GACGAACGCUGGCGGCGUGCUUAACACAUGCAAGUCGAACGGAAAGGCCCUGCUUUUGUGGGGUGCUCGAGUGGCGAACGGGUGAGUAACACGUGAGUAACCUGCCCUUGACUUUGGGAUAACUUCAGGAAACUGGGGCUAAUACCGGAUUGGAGCUCCUGCUGCAUGGUGGGGGUUGGAAAGUUUCGGCGGUUGGGGAUGGACUCGCGGCUUAUCAGCUUGUUGGUGGGGUAGUGGCUUACCAAGGCUUUGACGGGUAGCCGGCCUGAGAGGGUGACCGGCCACAUUGGGACUGAGAUACGGCCCAGACUCCUACGGGAGGCAGCAGUGGGGAAUAUUGCACAAUGGGCGGAAGCCUGAUGCAGCAACGCCGCGUGCGGGAUGACGGCCUUCGGGUUGUAAACCACUUUCGCCUGUGACGAAGCGUGAGUGACGGUAAUGGGUAAAGAAGCACCGGCUAACUACGUG
RNAcentral lists this ribosomal RNA (468 nucleotides) under uncultured bacterium. RNAcentral describes it as "partial 16S ribosomal RNA". It matches the Rfam family "Bacterial small subunit ribosomal RNA", at positions 28 to 507 of the family's 1533-position model. The record is from RNAcentral.